RNAcentral lists this ribosomal RNA (253 nucleotides) under uncultured prokaryote. Its description in RNAcentral is "partial 16S ribosomal RNA". It matches the Rfam family "Bacterial small subunit ribosomal RNA", at positions 524 to 776 of the family's 1533-position model. The record is from RNAcentral.
UACGUAGGGGGCGAGCGUUGUCCGGAAUGACUGGGCGUAAAGGGCGCGUAGGCGGCCUUGUAAGUUUGGCGUGAAAGGCCUGCUUUUAAGGCAGGUAUUGCGUCGGAAACUGCAGGGCUUGAGUGCAGGAGAGGAAAGUGGAAUUCCCAGUGUAGCGGUGAAAUGCGUAGAGAUUGGGAGGAACACCAGUGGCGAAGGCGACUUUCUGGACUGUAACUGACGCUGAGGCGCGAAAGCGUGGGGAGCAAACAGG